CCUACGGGAGGCAGCAGUGAGGAAUAUUGGUCAAUGGACGGAAGUCUGAACCAGCCAUGCCGCGUGCAGGAAGACGGCUCUAUGAGUUGUAAACUGCUUUUGCACAAGGGUAAACCUGAAUAAGGGUAUUCAGCUGAAAGUACUGUACGAAUAAGGAUCGGCUAACUCCGUGCCAGCAGCCGAGGUAAUACGGAGGAUCCAAGCGUUAUCCGGAUUUAUUGGGUUUAAAGGGUACGUAGGCGGAUUGAUAAGUUAGAGGUGAAAUGUCCGCGCUUAACUCGGGAACUGCCUCUGAUACUGGUGAGCUAGAGAGUAGAUGCGGUAGGCGGAAUGUAUGGUGUAGCGGUGAAAUGCUUAGAGAUCAUACAGAACACCGAUGGCGAAGGCAGCUUACCAAUCUAUGUCUGACGUUGAGGCACGAAAGCGUGGGGAGCAAACAGGAUUAGAUACCCGAGUAGUC
This 460-nucleotide ribosomal RNA is filed under the name uncultured bacterium. Its description in RNAcentral is "partial 16S ribosomal RNA". It matches the Rfam family "Bacterial small subunit ribosomal RNA", at positions 338 to 795 of the family's 1533-position model. The record is from RNAcentral.